RNAcentral lists this ribosomal RNA (496 nucleotides) under uncultured bacterium. RNAcentral's name for it is "partial 16S ribosomal RNA". It matches the Rfam family "Bacterial small subunit ribosomal RNA", at positions 29 to 507 of the family's 1533-position model. The record is from RNAcentral.
AUGAACGCUGGCGGCGUGCCUAAUACAUGCAAGUCGAGCGAACAGACGAGGAGCUUGCUCCUCUGACGUUAGCGGCGGACGGGUGAGUAACACGUGGAUAACCUACCUAUAAGACUGGGAUAACUUCGGGAAACCGGAGCUAAUACCGGAUAAUAUAUUGAACCGCAUGGUUCAAUAGUGAAAGACGGUUUUGCUGCCACUUAUAGAUGGAUCCGCGCCGCAUUAGCUAGUUGGUAAGGUAACGGCUUACCAAGGCAACGAUGCGUAGCCGACCUGAGAGGGUGAUCGGCCACACUGGAACUGAGACACGGUCCAGACUCCUACGGGAGGCAGCAGUAGGGAAUCUUCCGCAAUGGGCGAAAGCCUGACGGAGCAACGCCGCGUGAGUGAUGAAGGUCUUCGGAUCGUAAAACUCUGUUAUUAGGGAAGAACAAAUGUGUAAGUAACUAUGCACGUCUUGACGGUACCUAAUCAGAAAGUCACGGCUAACUACGUG